GACAGAGGUCCCGAGCGUUAGGCGGAAUCACUGGGCUUAAAGCGCGCGUAGGCGGCUUUGCAAGUCGGGUGUGAAAUCCCCAGGCUUAACCUGGGAACUGCAUUCGAGACUGCAUUGCUAGAGUAUGGGAGAGGGAAGUGGAAUUUCCGGUGUAGCGGUGAAAUGCGUAGAUAUCGGGAGGAACGACCGGUGGCGAGGCGGUUCUCUGGGCCUGUACUGACGCUGAGGAGCGAAAGCGUGGGGAGCGAACAGG
RNAcentral lists this ribosomal RNA (253 nucleotides) under uncultured bacterium. RNAcentral describes it as "partial 16S ribosomal RNA". It matches the Rfam family "Bacterial small subunit ribosomal RNA", at positions 524 to 776 of the family's 1533-position model. The record is from RNAcentral.